This 2047-nucleotide long non-coding RNA is filed under the name Marmota monax (woodchuck). Lineage: Eukaryota; Metazoa; Chordata; Mammalia; Rodentia; Sciuridae. The record is from RNAcentral.
CCUGGAUUGAGGGGCCUCUCGGCGGAGGAAAGCCAGGCUGACGAGACGCUGGCUAUGGUCACCUGGACAGAAAUACACCACUAAGGUUCUCUCUGAAACACUAAGUUGGAAGAAUGGGACAAGGGAAAAGGCUGUUCACUUCCUCGGGGACACCUCCAGCACCUGCAGGCUGCCCUGGCUGGGAGCAGCGUGUCCCCUUGACCCAGUCAGCGGGUGACGCAGGGGCUGCCUGUCUCUCCCCCAGCGACUGCUACAGUCCAGCCUCAGCCACCGACUUCUCAGAAAGGACUGGUUCAGGGCGGUGGGGUGGCUAUGCAGGAAGUAUUAGAGUGUGGUUCCCAGAAAGUCUGGCGUCCGUCACCUUUCCAGAGGUCCCUGGGAAGACUUCCUACAGAAGGGACAUCCUUACUCCACACAAGCUUCUGCUCAACUGUUUUAGAGAAAAUGAGCUGAACCAGAGGGCUCGGUCGGACCUCGACACUCUCCCGUUAAGAUUUUGUAAAUACUGGUCCCCUCUGUCACUUUAGUCCCCUCUGGCAUUGCCUCUCCCUCUCCUCUCCCAGUGUCUGGCCCUGCUUCCAGCUCCCUAAGCGACCCCCAGGCUCUGGCCGGCCUGGCCUCUGCUGGGGACCCUCACCUGCUGGCCACUCCUGCUCCUCCACAGGCUGGCGCAGACCCCGGGGCUCCCCCUCCCUGGCCCUCCCACUUGUCCCCAGGCUGCGGCGUCCUCUGUGCUUCCUCUCUACUCCCAAGGUCCCCAGCUUCCUCCCAUGGAAGGUCUUGGCUCUGAGGGGCCAGUCGCUGCCCGUGUCCCCUGAGCCAGUUCCCCUGGUGCCUGCAGGGAUGGGGUCUCUUCACCUCCCUGUUCCCGUGUGGUCCCAGAACUGGGGAGCAGGAGGCGCCAGGGCAGCUCCUCCUCAGAGGUGCUCCCAGAUCCUCACCCAGGGAUGGCGGCCUGGGUAGCGGCUAUGACCCAGGCACCCCUGGGGUCCAGCCAACACCCAGGCCAGCCUCCUGGACGGUCUCUGGGGACCAGGGCAUCUGUCAGGCUGUCCUCGUCCUUCCCCUGCUUGGGUGGGGCUGGGGAAAGUGCCACCCCAAAGUGCAAGCUGGCCUUGACCUUUGACCCUGCCCAGGGGUGAAGCAGGGGAGGGGAGGGGAGACCUGUGGGGAGGGGACCAUGCACCCCCCCCCGCCUACUCAGGGCGAGGCCCAGGCUGGCUGGGCUUGUGAGCAGGAGCAGAGGUCAGCCCCAGGGGCGCCCACGCUAGUCGAGGGGAAAGGUCCCGUGCCCAGCUGAGAUGUGCUGCGUCAGGUCGGGAGGCCUGCUGGGGACCAAGGUCCGGCUGCGAGGCACACCACCCACUGCACUGGCUCUGUGGGCCUCCUGGCCUUCCUCAGGGCACACCUGCUGUCCUUUGCCCAGCACACCCCUGUUUUGAGCGACAGCACCCAGUUUCCUUGGAGGCCCCCCUUCCCAUCAGCCGUGUGCCUGCCCUGAGCGUCUGGCCUCCUCCCUCAGCACGCCCGGCUUAGCCAAUCAGGGCAUGGUCUCAUGGCUUGGGUGGCUCCAGGACGGGAACGGGGUAAAAUGUGGCCUUUGUUAGAAAGGUAGGAAAGAAGCUAUCGCACUCUCUACAGGCAGCGCUACCUGAAUAAGACAGCCUGGGCCUCCGUGGGCCGGGGGCUGCCUGAGAGGGAGGCCACCCCACCAGAAGGCAGCAUCAAGACGGGGACGAGAUUGCUCCUUCUAGUUCUAUAUAGCAGCUCAACCCCCAAGAGCUGAACCAUGGAACCAACCGAGGUGCCCUUCAACAGACGAAUGGAUAAAGACUAUGUGGUACAGAUACAGAAUGGAGUAUUACUCAGCCUUAAAGAAGAAUGAAAUGAUGGCAUUUGCUGGUAAAUGAAUGGAGCUGGAGAAUAUUAUGCUAAGUGAAAUAAGCCAACCCCCCCAAAACAAAAGGCCAAAUGUUUUCUCUGAUAUGCAGAUGCUGAUUCACAAUAGGGGAGAGGAAGAAUAGAGUUACUUUGGAUUAGACAGAGG